GUUUAGACGUUAGAGGUGGCACUUAACUGCUCCUAUUUUGAUUAAUUUGCUUGGAAAGGGUUCAACGGCUAUUACAGAACAACAGAUUCUUUACAGGAACAGAGAAGAAGCAUCGAAAAUUUCCACACCGCUAUAGGUUUUCUGUCUUUUCGAACUGGAUUUGGAGCCAAAACAAUUUCUCCAGUCUCGAGUUUGCCGUGCGCAGCAAUGUGAACCACAGCAACUGUACUAAUUCUCUCUAGUACUUCACCCUUGGUUGCCUCCUUUCCAGUAAGUGGCUGGAUACCAAGCAUUUUUCCAAUCAUCUCCACCUCCUCGGCAAAAGGCAAAGGCGCAAAUCUGUUACCUCCGUCUAAGAAAACACAUGGAUUUUGUGCGAUUAUCGGAGGCGAAAGGAAGAGUGGAGGCCAAGUAUAUAUUUAGAGCUAUACAUUUAAUGGGAAGAGGAGCUUACAAGAGCAAGGCCUGAGGUCAACUGAACUGUUGCAUAAUCACAUCAGGAUAUUUAUAAGUCGAGCGCGGUUGCUAGGUAAGAGGAUUAAGGGCUAAUCCCACAGAUUUCCAACGAGCAGCGCCCCUGUGUUUUGGUGAUACUCUUCCAGGCAGGCGUUGAUUAGUUUCAUACUCAUCAAUGACGGAAGAAUGCGUAUGCACAUGGAUUCACUGAGAUACUUGGAUUUGGAAUCCAAAAAUGCAGCAAACGGGGCAAGGCACGGUGGACCAUCGGGAACAACAACCAACUCGCCAUCUUCGAUCAGAUUUUUAAUCGGACUUAUAAUGUAAUCAUGAAAGAGACGCGAGGGAUUCUAGUCAGAUUGCAAUGGGUCUACCGCUAUUUCACCUCUUUCCUCAGCGGGCGGCAGUUCUUGUUCGAUACGUGGCUCAUCAAAUGUGCGGUUUUCGCAGAUUACUCGGAAUUUUCUUUGUACUUCUUUGUAAGCCUUCUCUCUUAAGCGAUGGAAAUAGCCGGUUGCGUUUCCUAGAAGUUAGCGCACUUCUACCCGGGUAAACUGUACAUUUCUGUCUUUCCCGAGUACCCAUAGAUUAACUGCGUGUUCAUCCAGUGCAAUAAAAAGCUUUGAACUAGAA
This is a long non-coding RNA of Stylophora pistillata, 1089 nucleotides long. The record is from RefSeq and is a predicted model, not a curated record. Lineage: Eukaryota; Metazoa; Cnidaria; Anthozoa; Scleractinia; Pocilloporidae.